This is a long non-coding RNA of Callithrix jacchus (white-tufted-ear marmoset), 3109 nucleotides long. RefSeq lists it as uncharacterized. Lineage: Eukaryota; Metazoa; Chordata; Mammalia; Primates; Cebidae. The record is from RefSeq and is a predicted model, not a curated record.
GUCACCACUGGCAGCGGGGCCAUUCAUGGGCAAUGAGUCAGCAACUCUGACAGCACUAAAUACAGUCACCGGUUAAUGCGCGAGAUAACAGGCUCACAUGCUCCUUCAGAAAGUGCUGCUUUGUAGAAAAGAUGUUGCAGGAAACUGAAGAGACUCCCUAUUUACUUCAAUAAUAUUCAUUGGGUGUGCUUGUUCAAAGUCCUGACCAAGGAACCCCUCUCCAUUUCUGGUGUUGAUACAACUCUUCCAACCACCUGUUCUUCUAGCUACAAAAACAUGCAUUGUGAGUCAAUAGGAAGGAGUGAGCCCAGCUGACACCAGGAGCAUAGGUGAGCAGAACUUAUCAUGGACUUGGGCAGUCAUGGGAAAUCAUUUCACCGGGACUUUUGGUAAACCUGAAUUUUUUGGACUUUGAGCCUACACUGGCAGGGUUAUCAAGUUAUGCAGCUCCAAUGUAUUCCAUAUGAAUGGUGCCCUGGGAGAUCUGCCCCAUGGUGGUGUCAUAUGCCUGAACACAUAGCCAUGUUCAUUAUCCCAAGGUAUUUCUUUGAAAAAAACCUUUUAUAUUUUUAAGAGAGUCUGAUGUUACCCACAUGUAUUAAGUUUCUUCAGAGAGACAGAACCAAUAGGGUAUAUAAAGAUAAAGAUAUACACAGAUAUAGAUAUAUGGGAGAGGAUCUACUAAACAAAUUGGCACACAUGAUUAUGGAGGCUGAGAAGUUCCAUGACAUGUCAUCUGCAAGCCACAGACCUUGGGAUGCUGGUAACAAGGCUCAGCCCAAUCUGAAGGCUUCAGAACCAUGGGAGCCAAUGGUGUAACUCUACUCUGUGGCCAAAAGUCUGAGAAGAGGAGUGGAGAGGGGGAUGAGGAAUAGUGUAAGUCCAAAAGCUAGGGAGCCUGGAGUUGUUGUCCAAGGACAAGAGAGGAAGAGUAUACCCCAGCUCCAGCACAUACAUCAACAUAUUCACCUUGUCUCUGUUGUUGUUCUCUCUUGGCUGCUAGCAGAUUACAAGGUGCCUGCCUGCAUUGAGGGCAGAUCUUCCACACCCAGUCUACUAAUGCUAAUCUUCUCUGGAAACAGUCUCACAGAAACGUCCCAAAAUAGUGCUUUAUCAGGUUUCUACAUAUUCCUUAAUCCAGUCAAGUUGACACUUCAAAUUAACUAUCUCACUGUCAUGUAAACCAAACCGUAGCACUUUUUACUAAACCAGUGUGGUCUAUGGAUAACAAUUCAAGUUGUUCUUCUGAUGGUAAAUCAUACUAGUUUAAAUCAUGAGUUAGAUAUGUAGGGGGCUUCCAAUCUCUCCAUUUCCCUACUUUACUAGGGUUUCAUUGACAAAUAAAAAUUGCAUAUGUUUAUAGUGUACAAUGUGAUGUUUUGAUAUAUGUAUACAUUGUUAUAUGAUUAAGUCAAGCUAAUUAGCAUAUAUUGCCUCACAUACUUGUUUUUUUUGUGAUGAGAACAUUUAGGAGUUACUCUCUUAGCAAUUUUCAAGUAUACAUUUUUAGUAACUAUAGUCACCAAUAGAUCUCCAAAAAUUACUCUUCCUAAUUGAAAUUUUGUAUCCUUUGGCCAAUAUCUCCCAAUUCCUCCCCUCUGCCCAUCCCUUACAACCACUGUCCUACUCUCUGCUUCUAUGAGUUCAACUUUGUCUUUAUUAUUUGACAAAUAUAAAUUUUAUAUUAUGUACAUGUUGUUUUGAAAUACGUAUACAUUGUGGAAUAGUUAAAUUGAGAUCAUUAUCAUAUACAUUACUUCAUAUACUUAUUAUAAUGAAUACCUAAUAUCUACUCCCUUAUCAAUUUUCAAGAAUAUAAUAUACUGUUAUUAACUAUAGUUACUAUGAUGUACAAUAGAGCUGUUGAACUUAUUCCUCCUUUCUAACUGAAAUGUAUCCUUAGACCAACAUCUCCCCAAUCUCUUCCCCAGUCCUUUGUAACUACUGUCCUAUUCUCACUGGUUCUAUAAACCACUGAGAGUUUAUAGAAACUUCCAGUUUCUAUAAAUUCAACUUUUUCAGAUUCCAUAUGUGAGAUCAGGUAGUGUUUGCCUUUCUGUGCCUGGCUUAUUUCACUUAACAUGAUGUCCUUCAAGUUCAUCCACGUUGUUACAUAUGACAGAAUUUCCUUCUGUAUUAAGGCUAUAUAGUAGAUAUUGCAGAUAUUUACCACAUUUAUCCAUUCAUCCAUCCACUGAUGGACACUUAGGUUGAUUCCAUAUCUUGACUAUUGUGAAUAAUGAACACUACAUUGAACUUGGGAGUGGGCCAGCUCUAUUUAAUAAGAAGCAUUACCAAUUCCCACAGAAUUUAGUUUUUUUAAAAAUAUCUUCUGCAGGAUACACACUAUAUAUAUAUUAGUUAUAUAUAUAUAACAUAUAUUUAAUACAUAAUAUUGGUAAUAUACAAGAUAUACAUAGAUAUGGCAGAUACAUGUAUGUAUAUAUAACAUAUUUAUUUAUAAUAUAUAUAUUUUUAAAUAUGAUGUUCCUUAAGAAAUCAUGUGUCAAAUACUAUGUAGAACUGAGAGAAGAUUUUUCUAGAUCGAAGGCUCACAUUGUAUCUACCAAUUUUCCCCUGAUUAAAAAAAAGCACUUGAAAUUUGCAAUAAAUCGCUGUUUUUAAUAGUAUUUUAUGCAAUAGCUCCCAAAGCAAUUCAGUUACUCCAAAUACAUUUUUUUUAAUUAGAAAAAAUUUUUAACUAUGCAAUGUACAUUUUGGUUUGUAAUAAGUGAUAUGGUUUAGAUCUGUGUCCUCACCCAAAUCUCAUGUUGAAAUGGGAUCUUCAAUGUUGGAGGUGAGGCCUGGUGGGAGGUGAUUGGAUCAUGGGGGUGGUUUCUCAUGAAUGGUUUAGCACCAUCCUCCUCAUGCUGUUCUUCUGAGAUCUGGUUGUUUAAAAGUAUAAAGCACCUCCCUGCUUUCUCUAUUCUUCCUUCUAAGGACAUGUGAAAUGUGCCUUCUUCCCCAUCACUUUCUAACAUAAUAGUAACUUUCCUGAGGAUUCCCCAGAAGCAGAAGCUCUAAGCUUCCUGUAUAUCCUGCAGAACUGUGAGCUAAUUAAAGAUUUUUCCUUUAUAUGUUACCCAAUCUCAAGUAUAUCUUUGUACAA